GGUUGUGUAGUGUAGUGGUCAUCACUCCGGAUUUUGAUCUAUGAUGUCAAAGCAUUCCGGCAACCCCGGUUCGAGCCCGGGCACGACCU
Trematosphaeria pertusa is the source of this 89-nucleotide non-coding RNA. Lineage: Eukaryota; Fungi; Ascomycota; Dothideomycetes; Pleosporales; Trematosphaeriaceae. The record is from the annotation of a RefSeq genome assembly.